This is a long non-coding RNA of Helianthus annuus (common sunflower), 911 nucleotides long. RefSeq lists it as uncharacterized. The transcript has 2 exons. Lineage: Eukaryota; Viridiplantae; Streptophyta; Magnoliopsida; Asterales; Asteraceae. The record is from RefSeq and is a predicted model, not a curated record.
AUUAGAGGAGUGUGUCUUUAUUCCUGGUCAAUAAUCAUUUUAUGUGACAUGAAGUACAACAAUUUCUUUUUGCGUUGUUUGACUUUGUCAGGUACGGCUCGAUAAGGUUUUGGAUUGAUCGACUAAUCCUGUGUAUUAAUCUAUUUACCAAGGUCUGAUUUCUCGCAUUUUGCUCAGAAGAUGCGGUUGGUUUAUUUUCAGUUUCAGUGUUACAAUUUUGCGAUUAGGUUAUAUUAGUUGUGCUGGAUCUUUUUUUAUUUUUUAAGGAUCUGUGAUAGUAGCCAAGAUUGGCUGCACGUAUCAACAUUGGCGAAGCUUGCCCCCCCAAUUUUUCCGAAACCGAGGGGGGCGGAAACGUAUAUACCUAAAAAAUUUCUAUACGAAAAUACUAUUCAUAACACUACGCGCCGAAAAGUUCGGGGGGUCGGGCGCCCCCUCAGAAUAACCCUAAGCUGCGCCACUGCGUAUCAAUCUGAAAGUACUUGUUUGUGUCAUAGUUGGAAGUUUGGUUUAAUUCUUUCCAGUGAGGAGGAAGCCCGGCAAAGGUCCUGGUCGGCGACUGAAGGCAGUGGAGUGGCGGGAGAAGAUUUGGAGUCUGAGCGGCGGAUUGAGUUUCUCAGGCCUUGGCAGUGAAACAAUGCGAGCUCAAUCAUUGCCUAGGUGAUCUGAGCUGUAAACUUGAGUCUACUCAGUCAGAACCUGAACCAAACUAAAAGGGCAUUGGCUAACACCUAGGAGACUUUGAAGGAAUGCAAGUAUCCUCUCAAGGAGCGGAUGUAAUUUGUAUACAAUAAUAGAAAAAAUCACAUAUAUCUUUAUCUGUUCGUAUGAGUAUCUUCUUACAUUUUCUUAUGUCCUACGAACAUUUAGAUGUUUUAUUCAUACAUAUAUCUUCCUUUUUUAUUUUAUUA